This 75-nucleotide transfer RNA is filed under the name Alphaproteobacteria bacterium. RNAcentral describes it as "tRNA-Thr". It matches the Rfam family "tRNA". Rfam says of the family: Transfer RNA (tRNA) molecules are approximately 80 nucleotides in length. Their secondary structure includes four short double-helical elements and three loops (D, anti-codon, and T loops). Lineage: Bacteria; Pseudomonadati; Pseudomonadota; Alphaproteobacteria. The record is from RNAcentral.
GCUGCCGCAGCACGAUGGAGGUGCAUCCGCAUGGUAAGCGGGAGGCUGGCGGUUCGAUCCCGCCCGGCAGCACCA